UGGGGAAUUUUGGACAAUGGGCGAAAGCCUGAUCCAGCAAUGCCGCGUGUGUGAAGAAGGCCUUCGGGUUGUAAAGCACUUUUGUCCGGAAAGAAAUCCUUGGCUCUAAUACAGUCGGGGGAUGACGGUACCGGAAGAAUAAGCACCGGCUAACUACGUGCCAGCAGCCGCGGUAAUACGUAGGGUGCAAGCGUUAAUCGGAAUUACUGGGCGUAAAGCGUGCGCAGGCGGUUUGCUAAGACCGAUGUGAAAUCCCCGGGCUCAACCUGGGAACUGCAUUGGUGACUGGCAGGCUAGAGUAUGGCAGAGGGGGGUAGAAUUCCACGUGUAGCAGUGAAAUGCGUAGAGAUGUGGAGGAAUACCGAUGGCGAAGGCAGCCCCCUGGGCCAAUACUGACGCUCAUGCACGAAAGCGUGGGGAGCAAAACAGGAUUAGAUACCCUGGUAGUCCACGCCCUAAAACGAUGUCAACUAGUUGUUGGGGAUUCAUUCCUUAGUAACGUAGCUAACGCGUGAAGUUGACCGCCUGGGGAGUACGGUCGCAAAGAUUAAAACUUAAAUGAAUUGACGGGGUCAUAGCUGUUUCCU
Molecule: ribosomal RNA, 587 nt
Filed under: uncultured bacterium
Lineage: Bacteria
Description: partial 16S ribosomal RNA
Rfam family: Bacterial small subunit ribosomal RNA
Source: RNAcentral